This 228-nucleotide ribosomal RNA is filed under the name Forcipomyia tibialis. RNAcentral describes it as "partial 16S ribosomal RNA". The record is from RNAcentral. Lineage: Eukaryota; Metazoa; Arthropoda; Insecta; Diptera; Ceratopogonidae.
UAUGAUUGGAUGAGAUAACAGCUGUCUUAAUUUUAUUUAAUAUUGAAUUUUAAUUUUUAAUAAAAAUGUUAAAAUUUUUUUAAAAGACGAGAAGACCCUAUAAAUCUUUAUUUUAAUAAUAAUUUAUUUAUAUAUUUAUAAAUUUAUAUUUGAAUUUUAAUUAAAAUUGUAUUGGGGCGAUAAUUUAAUAUGAAAAACUUUUAUAAUGUAUUUAAUAUUGAUUAAUAA